RNAcentral lists this ribosomal RNA (422 nucleotides) under uncultured bacterium. RNAcentral's name for it is "partial 16S ribosomal RNA". It matches the Rfam family "Bacterial small subunit ribosomal RNA", at positions 361 to 775 of the family's 1533-position model. The record is from RNAcentral.
AUUUUGGACAAUGGGGGAAACCCUGAUUCAGCCAUCCCGCGUGUAUGAUGAAGGCCUUCGGGUUGUAAAGUACUUUUGGCAGAGAAGAAAAGGUAUCUCCUAAUACGAGAUACUGCUGACGGUAUCUGCAGAAUAAGCACCGGCUAACUACGUGCCAGCAGCCGCGGUAAUACGUAGGGUGCAAGCGUUAAUCGGAAUUACUGGGUGUAAAGAGUGUGUAGGCGGUUCGGAAAGAAAGAUGUGAAAACCCAGGGGUUAAACUUGGAAAUGCCAUUUUAACUGCCGAGCUAGAGUAUGUCAGAGGGGGGUAGAAAUCCACGUGUAGCAGUGGAAUGCGUAGAUAUGUGGAGGAAUACCGAUGGCGAAGGCAGCCCCCUGGGAUAAUACUGACGCUCAGACACGAAAGCGUGGGGAGCAAACAG